CUUCCACUGGCAUUGCAAGCUGGCAUGGCAACCUAUUGCCUAGCAAUUCAUUGUCACUGUUUUCUAUUCCUUUGUUUAAUGAAGCCAAUUAGGAAUUGAAACAAAUGUUAUGUUUUAUAGAGGAAAGGAAAAAUUAUAAAUAUGGCAUAGGGAUAUAUUUACAAGAGUAACUGCUGAAUAAAUUAACAAAUUGUCUAACAGUAAACAGAUGAAAUAAGAUGUAUCUAUCUAUCUAUCUAUCUAUCUAUCUAUCUAUCUAUCUAUCUAUCACAAAGGGGUUGCACUCACGGUCUUCCUUAGAAAAGGUCUCCUUUAUUCCAACAUAUAGAUCAACGUUUCAGUCCACUCAGG
This is a non-coding RNA of Pelobates cultripes (western spadefoot toad), 351 nucleotides long. NCBI's taxonomy places the organism in Eukaryota, Metazoa, Chordata, Amphibia, Anura, Pelobatidae. The record is from the annotation of a GenBank genome assembly.